GCCGCUAUAGCUCAGUGGCUAGAGCGUUGGUCUGUAAAACCAAAGGUCACAAGUUCAAAUCUUGUUGGCGGCA
This 73-nucleotide transfer RNA is filed under the name Trichonephila inaurata madagascariensis. It matches the Rfam family "tRNA". From Rfam's summary of the family: Transfer RNA (tRNA) molecules are approximately 80 nucleotides in length. The record is from Rfam by way of RNAcentral. Lineage: Eukaryota; Metazoa; Arthropoda; Arachnida; Araneae; Nephilidae.